GUCGAGGGGUAGGGCACUUCGGUGCUUGAGACCGGCGCACGGGUGCGUAACGCGUAUGCAAUCUGCCUUCCACAGAGGGAUAGCCCAGAGAAAUUUGGAUUAAUACCUCAUAGCAUCAUGACCCGGCAUCGGGAUAUGAUUAAAGUCACAACGGUGGAAGAUGAGCAUGCGUCCCAUUAGCUAGUUGGUAAGGUAACGGCUUACCAAGGCAACGAUGGGUAGGGGUCCUGAGAGGGAGAUCCCCCACACUGGUACUGAGACACGGACCAGACUCCUACGGGAGGCAGCAGUGAGGAAUAUUGGUCAAUGGGCGCAAGCCUGAACCAGCCAUGCCGCGUGCAGGAUGACGGUCCUAUGGAUUGUAAACUGCUUUUGUACGGGAAGAAACACUCCGACGUGUCGGAGCUUGACGGUACCGUAAGAAUAAGGAUCGGCUAACUCCGUGCCAGCAGCCGCGGUAAUACGGAGGAUCCAAGCGUUAUCCGGAAUCAUUGGGUUUAAAGGGUCCGUAGGCGGUCUUGUAAGUCAGUGGUGAAAGCCCAUCGCUCAACGGUGGAACGGCCAUUGAUACUGCAGGACUUGAAUUAUUGGGAAGUAACUAGAAUAUGUAGUGUAGCGGUGAAAUGCUUAGAGAUUACAUGGAAUACCAAUUGCGAAGGCAGGUUACUACCAGUGGAUUGACGCUGAUGG
Molecule: ribosomal RNA, 690 nt
Filed under: Flavobacterium sp. T91.09.P.CCF.OH.H.Kidney.D
Lineage: Bacteria; Pseudomonadati; Bacteroidota; Flavobacteriia; Flavobacteriales; Flavobacteriaceae
Description: bacterial SSU rRNA
Rfam family: Bacterial small subunit ribosomal RNA
Source: RNAcentral